UGCGUAGGUGGUUAGUUAAGUUAGCUGUGAAAGCCCCGGGCUUAACCUGGGAAUGGCAGCUAAUACUGAUUGACUGGAGUAGGUGAGAGGAGUGUGGAAUUUCCGGUGUAGCGGUGAAAUGCGUAGAGAUCGGAAAGAACACCAGUGGCGAAGGCGGCACUCUGGCACCAUACUGACACUGAGGCACGAAGGCGUGGGAGCAAACA
Molecule: ribosomal RNA, 206 nt
Filed under: uncultured bacterium
Lineage: Bacteria
Description: partial 16S ribosomal RNA
Rfam family: Bacterial small subunit ribosomal RNA
Source: RNAcentral